Molecule: ribosomal RNA, 253 nt
Filed under: uncultured bacterium
Lineage: Bacteria
Description: partial 16S ribosomal RNA
Rfam family: Bacterial small subunit ribosomal RNA
Source: RNAcentral
UACGAAGGGGGCUAGCGUUGCUCGGAUUGACUGGGCGUAAAGGGCGCGUAGGCGGUUCGUACAGUCAGACGUGAAAUUCCUGGGCUCAACCUGGGGGCUGCGUUUGAUACGUGCGGACUUGAGUGCGGAAGAGGGUCGUGGAAUUCCCAGUGUAGAGGUGAAAUUCGUAGAUAUUGGGAAGAACACCGGUGGCGAAGGCGGCGACCUGGUCCGAUACUGACGCUGAGGCGCGAAAGCGUAGGGAGCAAACAGG